AUACUUACUUGGCGGCGGAAUACCUUGAUCCUAAAAGGUGGUUUUCCCAGGGUGAGGCUUAUUUAUUGCACUUUGCAUGUGCUGAUCCCUGCAAUUUCCUUAAAUGUGGGAAACUCAGCUGCAUAAUUUGUGGUAGUGGGGGAACUGUGUUUGUGCUUUCCCAUA
This is a small nuclear RNA of Manis pentadactyla (Chinese pangolin), 165 nucleotides long. RefSeq annotates it as U1 spliceosomal RNA. NCBI's taxonomy places the organism in Eukaryota, Metazoa, Chordata, Mammalia, Pholidota, Manidae. The transcript has a single exon. The record is from RefSeq and is a predicted model, not a curated record.